RNAcentral lists this ribosomal RNA (827 nucleotides) under uncultured bacterium. RNAcentral's name for it is "bacterial SSU rRNA". It matches the Rfam family "Bacterial small subunit ribosomal RNA", at positions 46 to 922 of the family's 1533-position model. The record is from RNAcentral.
GCCUAACACAUGCAAGUCGAACGAUCCUUCGGGAUAGUGGCGGACGGGUGAGUAACACGUGGGAACGUGCCUUUUGGUUCGGAAUAACUGAGGGAAACUUCAGCUAAUACCGGAUGAGCCCUACGGGGGAAAGAUUUAUCGCCGAAAGAGCGGCCCGCGUUAGAUUAGCUAGUUGGUGGGGUAAAGGCCCACCAAGGCUCCGAUCUAUAGCUGGUCUGAGAGGAUGAUCAGCCACACUGGGACUGAGACACGGCCCAGACUCCUACGGGAGGCAGCAGUGGGGAAUCUUGCGCAAUGGGCGAAAGCCUGACGCAGCCAUGCCGCGUGAAUGAUGAAGGUCUUAGGAUUGUAAAAUUCUUUUAGCAGGGACGAUAAUGACGGUACCUGCAGAAAAAGCCCCGGCUAACUUCGUGCCAGCAGCCGCGGUAAUACGAAGGGGGCUAGCGUUGCUCGGAAUUACUGGGCGUAAAGGGAGCGUAGGCGGGUUAUCAAGUUGGAGGUGAAAGCCCAGGGCUCAACCUUGGAAUUGCCUUCAAAACUGAUAGCCUAGAGUAUGGAAGAGGUAAGUGGAACUCCGAGUGUAGAGGUGAAAUUCGUAGAUAUUCGGAAGAACACCAGUGGCGAAGGCGACUUACUGGUCCAUGACUGACGCUGAGGCUCGAAAGCGUGGGGAGCAAACAGGAUUAGAUACCCUGGUAGUCCACGCUGUAAACGAUGAUUGCUAGUUGUCGGUCGGCAUGCCGUUCGGUGACGCAGCUAACGCAUUAAGCAAUCCGCCUGGGGAGUACGGUCGCAAGAUUAAAACUCAAAGGAAUUGACGGGGGCCC